ACGUAGGGUGCAAGCGUUAAUCGGAAUUACUGGGCGUAAAGCGUGCGCAGGCGGUUAUAUAAGUCAGAUGUGAAAUCCCUGGGCUCAACCUAGGAACUGCAUUUGAGACUGUAUGGCUAGAGUGUGUCAGAGGGGGGUAGAAUUCCACGUGUAGCAGUGAAAUGCGUAGAUAUGUGGAGGAAUACCGAUGGCGAAGGCAGCCCCCUGGGAUAACACUGACGCUCAUGCACGAAAGCGUGGGGAGCAAACAGGAUUAGAUACCCUGGUAGUCCACGCCCUAAACGAUGUCUACUAGUUGUUGGGUCUUAAUUGACUUAGUAACGCAGCUAACGCGUGAAGUAGACCGCCUGGGGAGUACGGUCGCAAGAUUA
Molecule: ribosomal RNA, 371 nt
Filed under: uncultured bacterium
Lineage: Bacteria
Description: bacterial SSU rRNA
Rfam family: Bacterial small subunit ribosomal RNA
Source: RNAcentral